UUCUUAUCUAGAGAGGUAUAGGGACUGGCCCGAUGACACCUCAGCAACCGCCAUUUUAUGGCAUGGUGCUAAUUCCAGCAAGUUGAUAACACGACUUGGUAGAUGAGGA
RNAcentral lists this non-coding RNA (109 nucleotides) under Sporosarcina psychrophila. RNAcentral's name for it is "SAM-I sequence". It matches the Rfam family "SAM riboswitch aptamer (S box leader)". Rfam says of the family: The SAM riboswitch is found upstream of a number of genes which code for proteins involved in methionine or cysteine biosynthesis in Gram-positive bacteria. The SAM riboswitch acts at the level of transcription termination control. The record is from RNAcentral. Lineage: Bacteria; Bacillati; Bacillota; Bacilli; Caryophanales; Caryophanaceae.